UGGGGAAUAUUGGGCAAUGGGGGAAACCCUGACCCAGCAACGCCGCGUGAAGGAAGAAGGCCUUCGGUUGUAAACUUCUUUUAUCCAGGGAGCGAAGGACGUGACGGUACCUGGAGAAAAAGCAACGGCUAACUACGUGCCAGCAGCCGCGGUAAUACGUAGGUUGCGAGCGUUGUCCGGAUUUACUGGGUGUAAAGGGCGUGUAGGCGGAGAAGCAAGUUGGGAGUGAAAUCUAUGGGCUCAACCCAUAAACUGCUCUCAAAACUGUUUCCCUUGAGUAUCGGAGAGGCAAGCGGAAUUCCUAGUGUAGCGGUGAAAUGCGUAGAUAUUAGGAGGAACACCAGUGGCGAAGGCGGCUUGCUGGACGACAACUGACGCUGAGGCGCGAAAGCGUGGGGAGCAAACAGGAUUAGAUACC
RNAcentral lists this ribosomal RNA (418 nucleotides) under uncultured bacterium. RNAcentral's name for it is "bacterial SSU rRNA". It matches the Rfam family "Bacterial small subunit ribosomal RNA", at positions 355 to 786 of the family's 1533-position model. The record is from RNAcentral.